This 217-nucleotide long non-coding RNA is filed under the name Elaeis guineensis (African oil palm). Its description in RNAcentral is "long non-coding RNA (EGUI_LNC025287)". Lineage: Eukaryota; Viridiplantae; Streptophyta; Magnoliopsida; Arecales; Arecaceae. The record is from RNAcentral.
UCGUGUGAUUGGUAUUCUCAUCUUUAGUUCUUGAAAACAUUAUUUUGUACAUAUAUUACGAAGAUCUGUCCCGAAAAUUUUCGGGAAUAUACUCUUAAUUCUGGGGUUUACCCGUUUUCUUUGUCAAUUACAAGAAUGUAGAGCCGGCAGAUGAUUGUCUUCAACUUCCACCGAGGUCUGGACUGGCGUACAUUUUAUUCUUAAAAUGCUGCUGGUG